GUGUUUGAUUCUAUGCAAACUCAGUGACCUUCCUUGUUACUCAGCUAUAAAAACUUCAGAUCAGACUGUCAGUGGAGUUCACAGCUCGUCAGCUUCACCAUAAACCAUGUUUUCUGUAGCUCUGCUGCUGCUGUUGGCAGCUGGAUCCUGUGUGAAGUGUGAACAGUUGACACAGCCAGCCUCUGUGACUGUGCAGCCAGGUCAACGUCUCACCAUCACCUGUCAGGUCUCUUAUUCUGUUAGCAGCUACUACACAGCUUGGAUCAGACAGCCUGCAGGGAAAGGACUGGAGUGGAUUGGAAGUGCUGCUACUGGAUACACAACAUACUAUAAAAAUUCACUAAAGAACAAAUUCAGUAUUGAAACAGACUCUUCCAGCAAAACAGUGACUCUAAAUGGACAGAAUGUGCAGCCUGAAGACACUGCUGUGUAUUACUGUGCCAGACACACACAAUAACA
Non-coding RNA from Seriola dumerili (greater amberjack), 459 nucleotides. The record is from the annotation of a RefSeq genome assembly. Lineage: Eukaryota; Metazoa; Chordata; Actinopteri; Carangiformes; Carangidae.